UUUAGUGGCGGACGGGUGAGUAACACGUGAGCAACCUGCCUUCGAGAGGGGAAUAACGGCUGGAAACGGUCGCUAAUACCGCAUAACAUACAGGAGGGACAUCCCUUUUGUAUCAAAGAUUUAUCGCUCGAAGAUGGGCUCGCGUCCGAUUAGGUAGUUGGUGAGGUAACGGCCCACCAAGCCGACGAUCGGUAGCCGGACUGAGAGGUUGAACGGCCACAUUGGGACUGAGACACGGCCCAGACUCCUACGGAAGGCAGCAG
Molecule: ribosomal RNA, 263 nt
Filed under: uncultured bacterium
Lineage: Bacteria
Description: partial 16S ribosomal RNA
Rfam family: Bacterial small subunit ribosomal RNA
Source: RNAcentral